Long non-coding RNA from Osmerus eperlanus (European smelt), 1611 nucleotides. RefSeq lists it as uncharacterized. Lineage: Eukaryota; Metazoa; Chordata; Actinopteri; Osmeriformes; Osmeridae. The record is from RefSeq and is a predicted model, not a curated record. The transcript has 4 exons.
UCUCUAUCUCCCUCAUUCUCUGUCUCUCUCUUUCUCUCUCUCUCCUUCUCUCCUUCUCCAAGCUCUCUCUCUGCUCCACCGCCAAUACUUUUUUUUCCCCUUCCGUGUGUUUGUUCUCUUGGUGGCAUACGGAGGAACCGGUUAUGUGCAGCUCCAGCGCGUGCUGUCCCAGUGACUAGCCUAGCAGCAGCCCUGCCUCUCUCUCUAAAAUCGCCCGCUGCAGCUCCCUUGCCCCUUUUUCCGCUUUACGAUUUCAACACGAUGGCUGUUCUUUUUUUCGAGUCAUAUCUUUUUUUAGGUCUUUUUUUCCUCUUCAACCCUCUUCUCUUCCCGGAGUCCGAGCUACAAGCAGGCGAGUAAAAACUGUAAAGAAAGGUGACUGCGUGGAGGGAAGAUGAGGAGGCAGAAAAGGAGAGCAAGAGAGAAGGGAGGACGGGAACAGGACCGGAGCGAAGACUGGUGCUGAGCUGAAAGCAGUAACGAUAGAGCCAGGACGACAGGAGAGAAGGAACGGCCAACGAUCGAGUUGGAAUCGGACGAAAUCGCGGGAAACGGGGAAAAGGGCGAGAGGCAUCGGAUCACGGCUGUUGUCUUUGUUAGAAAAGGAGUCAUGCUCUCUGUCUACCAAGAGGUGGCGCUGCCCUGCGGUAUCUUCCCUUUACAGAACUUUCUCUGUCGAGGAUCAUCAAGGGGGAGAGGCGGAUGUGGUGGAGACAGUACUCGAUGACUUGACAAAAUGGAUCCAAGGCUUCUCCUUCUUUCUCUUCCCAGCAUGCCGUCUUCGCCAUGGCACAGUUACGCCAUCUGUUUGAGCAGUGAUGAGCUGUGCUGCGUUGCUGACCGGCAGACUGGAGAAGAAGCACUGUGAUGCAGCAGAAUGCAAAUGUCAGAUGAGGUCAUGUCUCAUGCUGAGACUGCGGGCCCAUGAUAAUAAUAAUAAUAAUAAAAAAUUUAAAAAAUUGAUUGUUUCCCACACAAAAUGUCUGUUGAAGUGCAUUUCCCAGUAUGCCCCUCUGUCCCUGAGACCCUUAACCUGUGAGGUCAUAGUAGGUCACAGGUGAGGUCCUCGGGAACAGGGCUGCAUUCAGUGUCAUCGUCUGAGCCUAAAAUCUCCUUUAAGUGAUGUUGUAUGACUUGCUAGACAUGUUGGUUUGCUUUUACCGUUAUCACAGUGGGCACUGCGUCAACACUCAUGGCCCAAAGCCAAAUCCCAAACAGAUAAGUGGUUGGAAGUCAGCUUGUUUCAUCCAGUCUCCAUCUGGCUGUGUCUGUGUUGACCGAUGUGAUGCGUACCUCUCAAGAUGCAAACAAAGCCUGUUGUGUCAAACAACAUAAGCAAAUCCUGCUUGAAGGAUCUCUCGGGAAUGGAUUCCUGGACAAGAGGAUAUCUAAUCCUCCCGCUGCAGAGGAAAUAUUAGGGGGCUGACCCUAUUGGCUGGCUUCAUGUCUCUCCAGUGGGACCCAAUAAGAAGACAGCCUAGGGUUGAGACCCCGUCAUAGUCUUCAGAAAACAGCUGUAAACUUCAAGAUUUAAAGCCCGCUUGUGCUGAAUUAGCAUGUAUUUCUUGUUGCGUGUUGCAUUUGAGGUUUAUUAAAUAAAGAUGUGUAUUA